CAAACCAAAGCUGGCGACCGGCGCACGGGUGAGUAACACGUAUCCAACCUGCCUCAUACUCGGGGAUAGCCUUUCGAAAGAAAGAUUAAUAUCCGAUAGCAUAUAUUUCCCGCAUGGGUUUUAUAUUAAAGAAAUUCGGUAUGAGAUGGGGAUGCGUUCCAUUAGUUUGUUGGGGGGUAACGGCCCACCAAGCCCUCGAUGGAUAGGGGUUCUGAGAGGAAGGUCCCCCACAUUGGAACUGAGACACGGUCCAA
RNAcentral lists this ribosomal RNA (254 nucleotides) under uncultured bacterium. RNAcentral describes it as "partial 16S ribosomal RNA". It matches the Rfam family "Bacterial small subunit ribosomal RNA", at positions 74 to 334 of the family's 1533-position model. The record is from RNAcentral.